This 439-nucleotide ribosomal RNA is filed under the name uncultured bacterium. RNAcentral's name for it is "partial 16S ribosomal RNA". It matches the Rfam family "Bacterial small subunit ribosomal RNA", at positions 338 to 794 of the family's 1533-position model. The record is from RNAcentral.
CCUACGGGUGGCAGCAGUAGGGAAUCUUGCUCAAUGGGGGAAACCCUGACGCAGCAACGCCGCGUGGAGGAUGAAGGUUUUCGGAUUGUAAACUCCUUUUGUUAGAGAAGAUAAUGACGGUAUCUAACGAAUAAGCACCGGCUAACUCCGUGCCAGCAGCCGCGGUAAUACGGAGGGUGUAAGCGUUACUCGGAAUCACUGGGCGUAAAGGGCGCGUAGGCGGGAUAGCAAGUCAGAAGUGAAAUCCUAUGGCUUAACCAUAGAACUGCAUUUGAAACUGUUAUUCUAGAGGAUGGGGGAGGUAGGUGGAAUUCUUGUGGUAGGGGUAAAAUCCGUAGAGAUCAAGAGGAAUACUGAUUGCGAAGGCGAUCUGCUAGAACAUAACUGACGCUGAUGCGCGAAAGCGUGGGGAGCAAACAGGAUUAGAUACCCGUGUAGU